RNAcentral lists this ribosomal RNA (207 nucleotides) under uncultured bacterium. RNAcentral describes it as "partial 16S ribosomal RNA". It matches the Rfam family "Bacterial small subunit ribosomal RNA", at positions 568 to 774 of the family's 1533-position model. The record is from RNAcentral.
CACGUAGGCGGCUUUGUAAGUUAGAGGUGAAAGCCCGGGGCUCAACUCCGGAAUUGCCUUUAAGACUGCAUCGCUUGAACAUCGGAGAGGUAAGUGGAAUUCCGAGUGUAGAGGUGAAAUUCGUAGAUAUUCGGAAGAACACCAGUGGCGAAGGCGACUUACUGGACGAUUGUUGACGCUGAGGUGCGAAAGCGUGGGGAGCAAACA